AGUUUGAUCAUGGCUCAGAACGAACGCUGGCGGCAUGCCUAACACAUGCAAGUCGAACGAGACCUUCGGGUCUAGUGGCGCACGGGUGCGUAACGCGUGGGAAUCUGCCCUUCGGUUCGGAACAACAGUUAGAAAUGACUGCUAAUACCGGAUAAUGACGUAAGUCCAAAGAUUUAUCGCCGAAGGAUGAGCCCGCGUAAGAUUAGGUAGUUGGUGGGGUAAUGGCCUACCAAGCCGACGAUCUUUAGCUGGUCUGAGAGGAUGAUCAGCCACACUGGGACUGAGACACGGCCCAGACUCCUACGGGAGGCAGCAGUGGGGAAUAUUGGACAAUGGGCGAAAGCCUGAUCCAGCAAUGCCGCGUGAGUGAUGAAGGCCUUAGGGUUGUAAAGCUCUUUACCAGGGAUGAUAAUGACAGUACCUGGAGAAUAAGCUCCGGCUAACUCCGUG
Molecule: ribosomal RNA, 450 nt
Filed under: uncultured bacterium
Lineage: Bacteria
Description: bacterial SSU rRNA
Rfam family: Bacterial small subunit ribosomal RNA
Source: RNAcentral